This 818-nucleotide ribosomal RNA is filed under the name uncultured bacterium. Its description in RNAcentral is "bacterial SSU rRNA". It matches the Rfam family "Bacterial small subunit ribosomal RNA", at positions 59 to 868 of the family's 1533-position model. The record is from RNAcentral.
AGGCCGCUGCGAUCCCUUCGGGGUGAGCUUGGCGCUGACGAGUGGCGGACGGGUGAGUAAUACUUGGGAAUCUGCCCAGUAGUGGGGGACAACCCGGUGAAAACCGGGCUAAUACCGCAUACGUCCUACGGGAGAAAGUGGGGGAUCUUCGGACCUCACGCUAUUGGAUGAGCCCAAGUCGGAUUAGCUUGUUGGUGGGGUAAUGGCUUACCAAGGCGACGAUCCGUAGCUGGUCUGAGAGGACGAUCAGCCACACUGGGACUGAGACACGGCCCAGACUCCUACGGGAGGCAGCAGUGGGGAAUAUUGGACAAUGGGGGCAACCCUGAUCCAGCAAUGCCGCGUGUGUGAAGAAGGCCUGCGGGUUGUAAAGCACUUUCAGUAGAGAAGAAAAGCCUGGGGAUAAUACCCCCGGGUCUUGACGUAACCUACAGAAGAAGCACCGGCUAACUCCGUGCCAGCAGCCGCGGUAAUACGGAGGGUGCGAGCGUUAAUCGGAAUUACUGGGCGUAAAGCGCGCGUAGGCGGCAAGGUCAGUCGGAUGUGAAAGCCCUGGGCUUAACCUGGGAAUUGCACUCGAAACUGCCUGGCUAGAGUAUGGGAGAGGGAAGCGGAAUUUCCGGUGUAGCGGUGAAAUGCGUAGAUAUCGGAAGGAACACCAGUGGCGAAGGCGGCUUCCUGGCCCAAUACUGACGCUCAGGUGCGAAAGCGUGGGUAGCGAACAGGAUUAGAUACCCUGGUAGUCCACGCCGUAAACGAUGAGAACUAGAUGUCGGGAGGAUUUCCCUUUCGGUGUCGCAGCUAACGCAUUAAGUUCU